GACGAACGCUGGCGGCGUGCUUAACACAUGCAAGUCGAACGGAAAGGCCCUGCUUUUGUUGGGUGCUCGAGUGGCGAACGGGUGAGUAACACGUGAGUAACCUGCCCUUGACUUUGGGAUAACUUCAGGAAACUGGGGCUAAUACCGGAUAUGAUCUCCUGCUGCAUGGUGGUGGUUGGAAAGUUUCGGCGGUUGGGGACGGACUCGCGGCUUAUCAGCUUGUUGGGGGGGUAGUUGCUUACCAAGGCUUUGACGGGUAGCCGGCCUGAGAGGGUGACCGGCCACAUUGGGACUGAGAUACGGCCCAGACUCCUACGGGAGGCAGCAGUGGGGAAUAUUGCACAAUGGGCGGAAGCCUGAUGCAGCAACGCCGCGUGCGGGAUGACGGCCUUCGGGUUGUAAACCGCUUUCGCCUGUGACGAAGCGUGAGUGACGGUAAUGGGUAAAGAAGCAACGGCUAACUACGUG
This 468-nucleotide ribosomal RNA is filed under the name uncultured bacterium. Its description in RNAcentral is "partial 16S ribosomal RNA". It matches the Rfam family "Bacterial small subunit ribosomal RNA", at positions 28 to 507 of the family's 1533-position model. The record is from RNAcentral.